Molecule: unclassified non-coding RNA, 325 nt
Organism: Fukomys damarensis (Damara mole-rat)
Lineage: Eukaryota; Metazoa; Chordata; Mammalia; Rodentia; Bathyergidae
Gene: 7SK
Rfam family: 7SK RNA
About the family: 7SK was discovered as an abundant small nuclear RNA in the mid-70s but a possible function has only recently been suggested. Two independent studies have found that 7SK RNA binds the CDK9/cyclin T complex (known as elongation factor P-TEFb).
Source: Ensembl
GGAUGUGAGGGCAAUCUGACUGCAACACCUGUCGCCCCGUUGCCCCAUUGAUCGCCAGGAUGGAUUCGUCUGAUCUGGCUGGUCAGGCAGGUGUCCCCUUCCUCCCCCACUACUCCAGGUGCCUCUGGCCACAAAUGCUCAGUCAAAAAACGACAACCACCCGGCAUAGAGGAGGACCUGUUCCUUGGCCCAGGGGUAUGGGAGUAGCUGCGCUCCUCUGCUAGAAAUCCAAACAAGCUCUCAAGUCAUCUGUUGUAGGUGACUCUGCUUUCCUUUCUGAAAGCCUCACCUUCCCUUUGUCCUUCAGUGCUCAAGGUGGCAAGUG